GUCACAAAGAAGAAUUGAUUGUCAUGUGUCACACAUUCUAAUUGGACAUGAAAAGGUGCACCCAAGAGUCAGUUCUAAUAUUUUUUUUUUCAUCAUCCAAUCAAAACGUGACAUAUGAACGUCAACAUUU
Non-coding RNA from Glycine max (soybean), 130 nucleotides. The record is from Rfam. NCBI's taxonomy places the organism in Eukaryota, Viridiplantae, Streptophyta, Magnoliopsida, Fabales, Fabaceae.